RNAcentral lists this long non-coding RNA (17883 nucleotides) under Homo sapiens (human). RNAcentral's name for it is "non-protein coding lnc-DLK1-35:71". The stretch from base 690 to 794 matches the Rfam family "Maternally expressed 3 conserved region 2". Lineage: Eukaryota; Metazoa; Chordata; Mammalia; Primates; Hominidae. The record is from RNAcentral.
GGCCUUUGUUCUCCUGAUGGAGGGGGUCGGGCGCGGGAUCUACUGGAGGAUCCUGGAUUCGUUUACCCAAGAGGGAACAGUUUUGAGACCCCCCGGAUUCACUGCGGAGUGGCCGCAGAGGCCGGGGUCGGCCUUUGCGCCGUGGCUUCGGGUGUUGUGGAGGCGCACAGAGGCACGUUAGUUGAUUUCCAGUGGUUUUUGGUUUCGGGGGUCUUAGGAAGGUGUGGCUCAUUUGAGCAGGAUGGAGAGAGAGGCUGUGACAAGGGUCUCUCCUCAGGGAUGACAUCAUCCGUCCACCUCCUUGUCUUCAAGGACCACCUCCUCUCCAUGCUGAGCUGCUGCCAAGGGGCCUGCUGCCCAUCUACACCUCACGAGGGCACUAGGAGCACGGUUUCCUGGAUCCCACCAACAUACAAAGCAGCCACUCACUGACCCCCAGGACCAGGAUGGCAAAGGAUGAAGAGGACCGGAACUGACCAGCCAGCUGUCCCUCUUACCUAAAGACUUAAACCAAUGCCCUAGUGAGGGGGCAUUGGGCAUUAAGCCCUGACCUUUGCUAUGCUCAUACUUUGACUCUAUGAGUACUUUCCUAUAAGUCUUUGCUUGUGUUCACCUGCUAGCAAACUGGAGUGUUUCCCUCCCCAAGGGGGUGUCAGUCUUUGUCGACUGACUCUGUCAUCACCCUUAUGAUGUCCUGAAUGGAAGGAUCCCUUUGGGAAAUUCUCAGGAGGGGGACCUGGGCCAAGGGCUUGGCCAGCAUCCUGCUGGCAACUCCAAGGCCCUGGGUGGGCUUCUGGAAUGAGCAUGCUACUGAAUCACCAAAGGCACGCCCGACCUCUCUGAAGAUCUUCCUAUCCUUUUCUGGGGGAAUGGGGUCGAUGAGAGCAACCUCCUAGGGUUGUUGUGAGAAUUAAAUGAGAUAAAAGAGGCCUCAGGCAGGAUCUGGCAUAGAGGAGGUGAUCAGCAAAUGUUUGUUGAAAAGGUUUGACAGGUCAGUCCCUUCCCACCCCUCUUGCUUGUCUUACUUGUCUUAUUUAUUCUCCAACAGCACUCCAGGCAGCCCUUGUCCACGGGCUCUCCUUGCAUCAGGGCUAAUCUCGGGCCUUGUCGAAGGAAGAGGCUGCAGACGUUAAUGAGGUUAGCUGCUGGAUUCCAGUAUUCGUCGCAUAAGGAUCCUUCUUUGUCUGCGAAGGAAAAACACACUGAUUAUCAUAAUGAGUUCCUGACCUGGCCAUCCCGGGGUGCCCUUGACCAGCCCCGUGUCUCCUCAGGGUGUCCCAGCACCAGCCUGGCACAGAGUGGGGCUCAGUUAGAGUAUGUGGGAUGUUGGUUUCGCCAGGUGAGUGAAUGAAAGGACUCGACCACCACAGCUGAGCCACUAGCUGGGCCAUGCGAAGAGUUCUAGGUGCAAAGGCUGGAGGGUGGAAUUCAUUUUUGAGAGGUGUGUGAGCAGCUUCCGACCCCUGCCCCAUUUGAACGGGGGCCUUGCUGGUCGCGUCCCUGCAUUCACCCGCGCGGCCAUCCCGUCAUCCAACAGUUGAUCCUAACUGAGCACGCCCACGGCCCUGGUCUGGCCUGGGCACCGGCCACCGUAGCCCAUCCCUUGAUGGCCUCUGUGUCCCCAGGAGGGCGGGCCGGGGGGUUGCCCAGGGGCUGGAGCAGUGGACUGUGGCUCCAUAGAGGUAGGCCGGAGGGUGUGAGGGCAGAUUCAAGCUAUCCCCAGGGCUCUGCUCUGGUCGGAGCCAGCCCCUUCUCCCUCUCUGCCUUCCCCGCCCCAUUCCUGAUGCUGAACUGUUCUGGACCCCUGGCCCUGAGUCUCUCAGGACCAAAGUGGGCACGGGAACAGCUGUAGUGUGUGCCCCCCCGGGCUUUGGCCACAGGUCUCCCUCUCGAGGUGUGGUUGUGACUGCGACCCUUCCCUUGCCGUGAUGCCUUCCUCCCCCGGGGCUUGGUCCAGCUCCUUCACUCUCUAGCAGCUGCUGGGGCCCACCUCCCAUGCCGAGGACCAGCAGGGGAAACCUCCAGGGAGCAUCUGCAGGCUCUGCUUCUGCCCGGCUGCUGGCUUGCUCUCCCUGGUGGCUCUCCAGCGGCCAGCUUCCUCACCCACCCGGCACUCCGCUUUGCUCUGUCUCCUGAGGUGGGCCUGACCAACCUCCCCUUCUCUGCCUCAGUCCCUGGGCUCCAGGGCUCAGCUCCACAGCCCUCUGCCUAGCAGGCUGGUUCUCCCUGCCAAGCCCAUACCUGUGGUCACCUGGCCCUCCUGUGGUCUGAGUACCACUCCCCUGCCCCAGGAGCCACUCCCACUCCAGCUGCCUGUUUCCAGCAGGUUCCCAGUGCCCCCGACAAGCCCCUGCUGGUGUCUCCAUCUCCUGCCAAGCAUCCUCCAGUGCCUCCUCCUGUGGGCCUGGCCUCAGGGCUAUGGACAGACUCCUGUCCCAUCCCAGAGACCCCUCGUGAUCGUGCCCUGUAGUCACCCCACUCCACCGAAAAGUAAACUGCAGGCACGUGGGCCGUGGCCCGGCUGGGUCGGCUGAAGAACUGCGGAUGGAAGCUGCGGAAGAGGCCCUGAUGGGGCCCACCAUCCCGGACCCAAGUCUUCUUCCUGGCGGGCCUCUCGUCUCCUUCCUGGUUUGGGCGGAAGCCAUCACCUGGAUGCCUACGUGGGAAGGGACCUCGAAUGUGGGACCCCAGCCCCUCUCCAGCUCGAAAUCGGCAGACUAGGAUGGAAGUGCCCUGUGAGCUGGGGGGCCCUUCAAAGGGCCAAGGAGAAAACGCAGGCCGAGGGACCAGCCUUCCAAAUGGGCUUCAAGCUCCAAUGACCUCCGCUCGCCCCCUCGAAAUGUCUGGAAAACAUAAUGGGCAGAUUUUCUGUCUUCAAAGUUUCCGGCUAAACCUCUUCAAGUUCUUUAUUGUUUGGGACUGAGACACUCAGCCAUGUUAAUGGGUAGUUUCUUUUGUAUUUGCCUUGAAAGGCCAAAAUAUUUUUAUAUUGCCACAGACAAAGCCACCUAUUUAAAAAUGAACUCCAUGUCCGUCGUUUCCCACCAGGAGACUAUGUACCAUGUGUGUGUCUCUAUGUAUUCUGGGGUCUUGAAACAGGUUUCUCAUGGGGAUGGUCAUUCACCACGGUCCAGAGGGGCAGAACAGGCGGCGCUUGCCUUGCCCAGGGGGCCUGGGGAACGUGGGCCCUCAUCUCAGAUCUGCCCCCAGUAUGUUUAGGACGCGAGCCCCAGAAGGAUCUGGGAGUAAACUUAACAUUCACUGUGUCUCUGCUCUGCAUCCGCCAUUUGUGUGUGUUUCUGGACUGUGGGCUGUGUGUACCUUGGUUGGUGACUCAGUGAGAAGAAGCAGGAAUGCCAAAGAUACUGUGAAUGUUCUGAGUUUUGUUGCUGUUGUUGUUGAGAGGUUGUUUCACUGGUAUCUAUUGCAUUGUAUAAUAAAUGACCAGAUGAAUGAAUGAGUGAAGCAAGAGAGAAUGAAUAAACAAGUAAAUAGGUAAAGAAGUAAGCAAGCCAGGAUGAGAGUGUGUGUACACAAGACCAUGGUUCAUCCGCUUUGAUGGCUAGGCAAUCAAUAUAUAAAUAGAAAAAAACCAGUGAAUCACUAAGUAAUAGGGCAACACACAAAGCGAUAUCAGGUGAUUAUGGACUAAGGGGUAUGUGUAACUCAAAUAUAUGCCUCUGACAUUUGACAAUGAAAAAGAACCUAAAUGAAAGAAAGAAUGGAUGUAUGAGUAGUGAAGUGCAGAAUGAGACAUAGAUUUUGAGGCCCGUCAAAAUGAAAAGAUGCAAGUUAGGGAACAAGUGAUCAAAAGGGAGAAGGGAAAGGUUUUUUUUAAAAAACCAAAACAACAAAGAAAGGUUAAAAAAAAAAACAGACUAGAGGAUGAGUAAUGAGUAACUCUGUAAGGAGGACCAUGUCAGACUAUUGUAAGCUAAGCAUUAGGACUGAUACAAAUAAUAUAUGCUCCUGGCAUAGAAAAAUAAACCACAGAGAACGAGUUCAAAGAAUAGCAAAGAAAGAAAGAGGACCCAGUGGGCGAAAGAUGAGAGUGUACUUUUACCAAAAGUUAUCUAAGCCUGAGCACUUGAAGUCUGCACAUAAAUAAAUAAAUGACAAAAGAAAGAAAAAAAGGCCAAAAAGUCUACAUUGCGUGUGUGGAUGGAUGAAUGAGCAGUGGGAGUGCAGCGCCAGGUGACAAGAUGUUGUGAGGGGUUUUGAGUCAUCCAGUCCUGGGCACUGAGGUCUGUUAGAUGAAAGGAUAUGAGAAAGGUAAUAUUGGUAAAUAAAGAAAUAGGAAACAAUGUAACAAAUGUUAAGUACAGAAAUACAUUAAUGGGUGGUAAAUAAAGAUGUAAAAGAAGGCAAUGCGAUCGAUGGUGGCAAAAGAUCAUCACAGAUUAAGGGCUAUGGCUGGUCCACUUCUAGAAAACCACAGGCUGUCCAUUAAAUAAUGAACAUCUAAGUGAACAAGUCAGUGAGUACCUAAAUAGACAAGGAUGAGGUGAAUGAGAAGACAUGGCCCCAUGGGUCCUCCUGAUGAGGGUGUUGGGGUCCCCCCUGGGCACCCCAGCUGCAUGAAAAUGAAGGACAGGAGGUAUGGAAAGCUAUGACAGAAGAGAGAAAGGAACGGUAAAAAGAAAUAACAACCAAAUGGAUAAAUGGGUAGAUCCACGAGAAGAGUUAGGCUAGGACUUGUCAUAAGGGCACCUGACUCCACUAAUAGAGGAAUAAAUGCCUAAUAAAAAGAGAGCAAGCAGGAAGGAAGGAUGCUAUGAAUGCAGGAAGGAAGUAAUGAGUGAGACGUGGAACCGCACGGCCAAGGAUGGACGUUUGCGGGUGGCUUUUUGAUGCGUACAGCCAAGCCACUCCAUGGCAAUGAGCUCCGAAGACAAAGUGCAAGAGAGAAUGAGUGAGAGAGUGAGAGAGAGAGAAACAAUAAAAAAUGGGAAGAAAUGUAAAAAGGAAGAAAGGAAGAGAGGUAAUAUAUUAAGGAAUAAAUACAUGCAUGCAGAUUUAAGACAGAGCCAUGCUAGAACAGGAAUGAAAGGCUGUGUGAACCAAGCAGACCGCUUAAUUGGCACCAGUGCUGCUGGUAUGGUCAAUCACCUACUCAACUAAGGAACGGCUCAAAGCAUACACAUGGGAGGGAGGAGUGGGGCCACAGAGAGAGGGCCCAUUAGUUGCAGAUUACGAUGUAUCCAGUUAGGUGCACCUGCCUUCGAGAAGUGUAAAAAUAAGUAUUUACAUAGAAAGAAAGACUGAAUGGAUGCACGGUGAAUGCAUGAAUGAUUGAACGACAGAAAAGAUUUGCAUUGACCGAUGAGGAGGGCAUUGUAGACAGGGAUGAGGGUCAUUGAUCCUGGGUGCAGAUCUCCAAAAGAAUGACAGAAAGAAAGAGGGAGUGGUGGAAAGAAACAAUAGGAUGGGAAAAAAUGAAAAUAGAAAAAAGGAAGUGAAAGAGAUAAUAAAUAAUUAGAUCAAAUAAGUUGAUGAAAGGGGACUGGUUUAGCACAAGCCAUCCACAUUAAUUCAAACCUGUGGCUCUGAAGUUUGUUUUUUAAAUGACCACAAGUGUAAGACUGAAUGAAAGAAUAAAUGCGUGCAUUCCAUAGGAUGCAAGAAAAGGAGUGAGGAAUGGGAAAAUUGGAAGAACGAGAGAGGGAGAGAUGUAAGAAAAGAAAGGAAAAGUGAAGUAGGCAUAUGAAAGAAAAGGCACUUCUUGGACAAGCACUGAAAUAUAAUGAGACAGUUUUACCCAUUAAAUAUAAUAAACAGUAAACGUUGAGGUUCAUCAAUAAAAGCACAGAUACCUGAAUAGAGGAGUGACCUGAAUAGAAUUCGUUCAGCCGAACGAAUGAGAAUGGAUGAUUUUCACUAUCCUGUGCACUCAAGGCCCAAAAGAGAAAGCAAGAGAGGAGAGAAUAUGGAAACGUAUGACAGGAUGUAUAUAAGCAAUACAAACAUAUUGAAUGAAUAAAUAAAGACAUAAAUAUGUGGGAGAGUGGACCACGCAAGGACAAAAAGAGGAGAGAAGGCAGCAAGAAUUAUGACUAAUUCAAAACUGGGUUCCUGAGAUAGUUAAAUAAAUCCUGCACCAAAUCCCCAGGGGGAGAAAUUAACAAACAAAAGACAGCCCCACACGGACCAGUGUGCAGAAGGCUCCAGGAACCGCAGAUUAUGGUUAAUCCAAUUCUGUGCACCUGAGGUCCAUAAAUAAAAGAAUAAGUAUUGAAAUGAAAGAAUGACAGAAAGAAUGAAUGGACACAUGAACGACUGAAUUAGAAAUGGAAAUGCCUGGCACAGCCAGGAAGGAGCUGCCCAUGGGAUUGUCAUUCAUCUCACUCUGGGCACCUGAGGUCCAUAAGCGUGAAAAGAGGCAGGAAGAGAAGUGUCAGGGAGUCAAAGAUAGAGCUAAGGAAAGGCAAAAAUGAAACUAAAUGAAAGCGAAAGGGAAAAUAAAGAAAAACCAAUAAAAAAGAGAACGAAUACGUGGGUGUAUCUGUAAGAGUAGGAUCUGUUAGGAUUAGUCAUAAGACUGUCAGUAAUCCUGAAGAUGGAUGAGAUAAUCCAGGCCCAGGUUCCCAGGGGGAGGGAAAAUGGAGAAAAUAUAAAAAGAUGUGAAAAAGGAAAAAGGAAAGGUAAUAAACAAACAACCAAAGUGAUAAAUGGAUAGUUAAGGGAGGUUGUCUGAACAGGGAUUAUAAUUAGUUUACAUACAUACUCCUUAAACAGAUAAAUACAUUACACCUUUCAAAGAAUAAAUGAAAAAUAGAGAGACAUACCUGGCUCCAAAACAAGGCUGUAUCUUCUGCCACUGUAAUAAAAUAGAUGCAAUUGAGGUUCAUAAAUAAAAGAAUAAAUACUUAAACGUGAAAGGUGACUAAAUGCGGGGAAGAAAGAUUGCAAAUAAAUACAUGGGCCAAAGAUGUUUGGUUUGCCCAUGGAGUUUUAAUUAAAAAAAUUAAUAAGGAAAACAAAUACCCAAAAUAAGGAAGACUGACAAAUGAGUGAGUGGAUGAGAGAGUGAAUGGUGCUUGACGUAGGAGCAGUAGUGCUUUAGGGACCAGCAUGAAGGUGGUGACCGGGAGCCCUGAUUCAUGGGAUUCUGUCCACCUGACUUUAUAAGAACCAAGAAUGGCUGGGAAUGGUGGCUCACGCCUGUAAUCCCAGCACUUUGGGAGGCCGAGGUGGGCGGAUCAUGAGGUCAGGAGUUUGAGACCAGCCAGUUUGAGAUCAGCCUGGCCAACAUGGUGAAAUUCCAUCUCUACUAAAAAAAUACAAAAAUUAUGGGCGUGGUGGCACCUGUCUGUAAUCCUAGCUACUCGGGAGGCUGAGAGAGGAGAAUUGCUUGAACCCGGGAGGUGGAGGUUGUAGUGAGCCAAGAUUGCACCACUGCACUCCAGCCUGGGCUACAGAGCAAGACACUAUCUUAGAUCAAAAAAGAAAAAAAAAAAAAGAAGGAGAAAGAACCAGAGAAACAUAAGGAAGAGUGAGAGGAAGAAAGAAAGAUGCAAUUUGGGAAGAAAUGAAAAAGAAAUGAAUAAAGAAUAAAAUAAUGUAACGGUCAAUAAAUAGGACUUGUGAAUGGAGGCCUUUAGGCCAAAGGCUAUGAUUAAUUUCAAGCUAUGUUACUGAAGUCCAUAAACAAAGGACUCAGAUCUAAAUGGAUGAACGAAUGACUGGAAGAAAGGGUGGUAGGAAGGUAGGAAGAAAGGAAGGAGGGAAAAAGGGAAGAGAGGAAGGAACCUUCUUUCCAGUCCUGUGUUCUAGACAGUGGAAUGAAGUGGUCCCCAGGGAGGGUGGCUGUAGGCAUGUCAUGUGCUUGUCACAUGCACUUGCCCUGGCAGGGAGGAGCUGGCUCAGGAAGACCCUGGUCUUGGGGUGCUGUUGCCCUAUCUUGGCUGUGUGGGCCAUUUCACUGCAUCUGUCUCUUCCUCAGUUUCCCCAUCUGUAAACCUGGAGUGGCACCAGCUGCCUACUAGAGUUGAUCUUAUGUGUCUCUGUUGAUGGUACCCCAUCUAUGGCCUGGAUAGGCAGGAAGGGCUUGGACCCUGAGCCCCGCAGAAGGUUGCAUGAACGAGUGGUGUGAAGCCUGUUGGGUAGCUUGGCCACUCCCGCGGCAUGGGUCACCUGCACAGGAGGUUUUGCCCACCAGGGGGCAGCAGAGGGUCAGGGAGCAAUAGGCCCUGGGUGGAGCAUGGGCCCCGCCUGCUGUGUGCCACCCUGGGUGUGGCACCUACUCACAUCCAGGGGUUGGUGCAGGGAAAGGCCAGAAGGUGGCCAGGCGCACCUGAGAAGGGGGACCCAGAAGCCCCGGGACCCAGGAGCCCUGGGCAAGCCACCAGAAACCUUGUUCUUGCAACUCUCUGCAGUGUGCCCAGGCCACCCUCUGGCCUGGUCUUCCAUGGGGCAGGGCGCCCACCCUUCUCAACUCAGGUUUCCCUGGGCAGCAGGUGCACCUCAGCACCCCUGGGGUUGCAGAAGUGGUCCGGGGACCCUGGCUUCCUUGACAUGCCAUCCCCAGAGCCUGGUUCAAGGCCUCUCUGUCUUCUCGGCUGUUUCACGACGUGUUUUGUAACUUGGCGGGAUUGCGUUUCGCUGUGUCGAGGUUGUCUCUUCUCUGACUCGCCCUCCGGGGGACUGCCGGGGUAAAUCUGGAGAGUUGCUCGUGCUGACAGUCCUCCCCCAGGGCCUCCCCGGUUCUGUUGAGUCUCCUUUCUCUGUAGUGGAGGAAAUGUGUGUAGUUUUGUGUUGUGUGCCUGUGUUUGUCUGUAAAAGCAAGGACCAAAGUCUCCCUUGUUGACCUCUCAAUUCCUAUUUGGGACAUAUAAAAACACUGGAUUCUUAACAAGCGCCCGGAGCAGUAGGAGCACAGCUUGGAUGGACUCAGGACUUGUGGCAGGGAGCACGUGGGAGGCAGGGGAGUGGGGUGGGGCCAGGCCAUCUGGAGUGGGAGGCGUCAUGCUCAGAGUGACUCUGUAGACGCUGGGUGGGAUGGGGAGUGCGGGCGCAGGCAUGGAUGGGGCUGUUAGCUAGUGUGAUGCUUGAGGUCUGAGCUGAUGGCAGCAAAGUGGGGUGCUCAGGAAUCAAAGCUAUGGGGUUAUAGACAGGAUAUGAAGGAGGGAGGGAGGCAAGAAGAAGGGGGUGGUUCCCACGCUUCUAGCUCCGGCCGAGUGGAUGGCAACAGCAUUUGGAAGGCGGAGGACAUGGAAUUCAUGUGUCAGGAGCCACCUUCCGAGCCUCCAGUACCACGUGUCAGGGCCACAUGAGCUGGGCCUCGUGGGCCUGAUGUGGUGCUGGGGCCUCAGGGGUCUGCUCUUCUUCUCUUUCAGAAUCUGGGGCUCCAGGCUAUGCCUUGGCUGGACUGAGGUCUGGGGGUGCACUUAUUAUCCCUGGGGACACCUGCUGAAGCUUCUCCCUGACAAGCUGUGUCACUGUUGGAUGAGGAUGGGGCGGGAGGGGUUCAGGGCAGAAGAAGACCGGGAGGGUCUUUCAAAAGAACUCAUGUACGGCUGUUAAAAAAAGUCAGCAGAGGCUCAGGAAGACUUAAAGUGUGCAGAAGGCGGGGAAGGGAGGGCCCAUUGCAUGCACCAAGAGGAAAUUGGAAGGAACAAGCGACGUUGGCUGCUAGGAGAGCCUGCUCCCAACAUCUAGGGGCUGUCCUGACGGGUCACAGUGGGUCGAACUGAGCCAAUGAGAGCAGCUCUGGGGAGACCCACUGGUGCCCUGGAGGCUGGGUGGGUUUGGGUUGGAUGAAUUCUGUGUGUCCUUUUGGAAAUGUGGAGGCCAUGAGGGGGGAUCAGGGCUCUUAGGGUUUUGACCCUUAAGAGUUUUGUAUCUGUAAUUCAAAGGUUCUUUAGUUCUGGGAUGCUGAGAUUCGGGAUAGGGUUCCUAAUGGCACAAAAGCCAGAGAUAAAACAUCCUUCACGUGCUCCCUACCCGGUUCUUUCUGUACCAGACCCACAAGGUCCGAGUUGGGAUCCUAGUGCUCCUGUCUGGUCAGGGCCUAUCUUUAUGUGUUCGUUAAACUUUUAACAAUGAGAAUUAAUUCUGUCUCUUGACAUUGUCAUUUGCAUGCUCCCCACACACAAAUCCUUUCCUGGUGACACCAGGAGCUACAACUCUCCUUGGCCUCCUCUUGUGACUCCCAACUCCCUCCUUGGGAAGCUUGGCCUCAGGACCUCUGGGAUAGACAGGCCACGAAUCCUGCUGUGUCCCGUUGUGUUCCUAAUAUAAAUGGUGUGGAUGGCACUUGACCUAGAGCAGUGGGAAAUGCAUGCACCACUCAACAUUCUGACAUGUCACCCAUUUUACAUUCUUACAGGCAUACUUUUUUUAAAAAAAGAGUGUCUAUUCUUUAAUGAGCAUCCCUUCUUUAAAAAAACCUAAUUGCCAUUAUUCACCACAUACACUUUUUUUUUUUUGUAUCCUGCCUCUUCUAUUUAAUUUUCUGUCAUCAACAUUUUCCCUUGUUCCAUGAAUCUUCAUAACCUCACUUGCUGCGUUGUGCCUUGUUGAGUGGCUAUGGCAUCAUUCACAGAACCAUUCUGUUAUUCUUAUGUAUAACCACCUUUUAAAAAUAUUAUGAAUAAUGCCACAACUAACUGCUUAAAACACCCUUUUUUUCAUUCUUAAGAAUUAUGUUCUUCCACCCAGAAAUUAUCAUUGCUUCACUACAGAUCAGUUUCCCCUGCUAGACUGUGAGCCCCAUAAGGGCAAGGAGCUUAUUGAAUUGGCCUUUGUAUCUCUGAUGCCCAACAUGUUGUAGACUAUAAAUAAAUGAUGAAUGAGUGGAUGGAAGAAUGGAGGAAGGAGCGAGUGAGUGAGUGUUUGGCUGAUGGAUAAGAGGGUGGAAGGAUAGGCGGAAGGAUGGAUUGGUGAAUGAAUGAAUGAAUUUCCUUUGGUUAAGUCUCUUGAAAGAAAGGCUAUGGAUCUUUGUAUGGAUGUUGAAUAAUUUCAGUAAGCUUACAGCAUUUUACAAUGUUCAGCAAUGUAUGACCACUUAAUUAAGAUAUGGCUAGUUUGUCUCUGUUAUAAAGUACUUUUGCAUUACUUUAACUUGCAUUGCUUUAAUUACUAAUGAUGGGUGAACACUUUGACCUAUGUUUGUUAACAAAUUGUAUUUUAUCUUCUGUGAACUGUUUGUCCAAGUCCUUUGGGUCAUGGCUUUCUGAAGAGACUGGUCCCAGAUGUCCUUGGGAUGUAGGGAGCCCAUAGCUCACUGGAGGCAUUCAAGGAACCAGCCAGGCAGCCCUCAGAGAAAGUAGUGUUUAGGAGAUUCUCAUGGUGUGGGGUUGGCCUAGGUGGCCUUUCAGGUCUGUUUGAUGUUAGGAUUUGCUUCUCCCUGGGAAGUGGGUGAUGGGGAAAAAGACACCUUCCAUUGGCAGGUGUAGACACUGCAGGCUGGACCUCCUGGGUGUGCUUGUGGACUCCGAUCUUGCCCUUGAUAAAACCCCUGUGGGACAGGAAUAGCUCUUUGAACCUCCAAGGUCCAGACAGCCACAUCCUAGCACCCUGUACAAUCAGUUAGUGGCCUUCCCACCAGCGCAGUCACUCAUUCCUAUUAGAUCCCGAUGAAGCCAGGCCCUGGGGUUUCCAUUUUCCCACCUCUUAGGGGAAUUGGGUUCCCCGCGUCCUGUGAUAUGUCAGCAAAUGUCCUCAGCCCUGGCCUGCACAUGUGGCCUCAGUGGUGGUCUUUGGGGUUUAACUGACGAAUGGAACAUUUUGGAUCAGGACUGAUGGGAGAAUCUCCUUUCAUUUUUCUUCACCUGGGGCAAUUACAUUCUAAGGAGCGGAAUAAAGGGCAUGUUCUGCCCAAAGCAUCAGGGCUCACAGGUCAGUCACAGCCAUUUAGGGAGGGCAUGUCACCCAAGGAGGGCUCGCCCUUCUUUCCAGAGCAUCCUCCGCUCUCAGCAGAGCUGCUUCUGCCCACCCAUCCCUCUACUAUAGCACUGAGCACUGUUUGCCCGUGUCAGAAUCCCUCACCCACAUGUUUAGCUUGGUAUCCGAGUUUGGGAGGCCGGCAAUGACUUUCAACAUGAAUUGCUCCAUCUACCCAUCCAUGCAUUUGGCCUACUUAUCUUGACCCCGUGCUUUUGGCCUUUUCUUCUCCUGAAAGCAAACCCUUUCAUUUUGGGUGGGCUGUGUAGCGCCAUGGGCUGUGGUUAUGAAGCAAACACCCUUUCUUGUAGCUGCCUCCUCCGGGGUUACUGCCCUGAGCACGUCCCAGCUGGAUCUCGUCUGCCACUGUCACCCAUAGCUUCUUCCCCAUGGUGCUUUCCAUGUGUCACACACCACGACUGUGACCCAGGGUCGGGGUCAAGAGUAGCCUGGGGCCAAGCCCUCCCACCCAUGAGCGGAGAAGUCCUCCCCAGGCCUCACCUUGCCUGGCGCAUGGUCCCUCCCAUGAGCUUUGCUUUCAGCCUUUCAGCUUCCUCCACAGGGUGGCAGUGGUUGUAACUCAUCCAUUCAUCCCUUCAUCCCUUCAUUCAUUCACUCACAGCCAACAGACGUUUUUAAAAAAUUAGCCAGUGCUAUACUAGAGCUGGCUCCCAAGGACCCGCUGCCGCAUUGCCUUUUGAAACAAAACAAUGAACACGUUGGUAAAGGGGCCGUGCUUGUGUGUCGGUGACAAGGCGAGAUCCCUGAGUCAGGUCAGGCUUGUAGAUUCGAGUUCUGUUGCGAGUUUGAUUGCCCCUCUGACUUUGUCCCCUGUACAACUAGGUUGAUUAGGAAUCAGCCAACUGUGUUCCCUGGGUGCUCAGAAAUCACAGCCCAUAUCCUCGAGAGGCCAAAAUGAGAGCCAGGGGGUUCCAAGAUGAGUGGCUGCUUCUGGCCGGGAGCAGGUUUUCAAGUCAUUAGAACACUCUGGCCUUUCCUGGAGGUGAUCUUGGAGCCAUUCCUGCCCCUUUCAAGAGGAGUUAAUGCCCAGCUCUGUUUAGAGAAAAUUGGGGGAGAUGAUUGCUCAUGUGGGUGAUAAGAAUCACCUCCCGUGCAGGGGUCUGCAUAGAACACUCCAUAGGCAAACCUGGGUGUCCAAGGCACGUGGCAUUUUGCAAACUCUGGGUGCAGCUCCGAGCUGUCCUGCAGGUCCCAGACCAGGUGAGAACUCCCUGAGUUCCUGCUGCCUGGGUCGGGGGUGAGGCAUAGGUCUUGGGGGUUCAACCUGGAAUUCUGAAUGUCAUUCAUUGCAUUGGAGAGGAAGGAGAGUAGGCAAAGCCAAGACCCUGGAACUGGACAAACUCGUGUGGUUUAAAGUCACUGUGAGAGCUGGAGUUGAGUCUGCCUACGGGGGAGGACUGCGGCACCUACCUCGCAGGGCUGUUGUGAGGAGCAAUGUAACCGUGAUUUUGAACUGUGAUUCUGGAAGGGCGGUGUGCGUGUCCCCGGGGGUGUGCCAGGGGAGUGAGGAGAAAAGGCCAGGGAGACAGCCUCACUCAGGCAGCUGAGUGGGAGAGCAUUUAUCUCUAAACCUGGAGGGGUAUAUGGUGGGACAGGAGGAAUUUGGGCAGGAACUUUCAUGCUAGGGGUUUGGGGGACUCGCUGGACAAUGCCCCUGGACCCCCCGGGGGUACGCGUUCACGCUCACCUCUGAGAGGCUGGAAACGCCUGGCUGUGCUUUCUGAAUGCUGUGUGCUUCCUGCCUCUGUGCCUGGCCUGUGUGCAGCACCUACUUGUGUCCGCCUUCAAAAGGCCCUUCUGGGUGGCGUCCUUUUCCCCAAAAUAUUAGGCACCAGCCAUCAAAGAUACUGCAUUGUUGCCUCCCCCACCCCUCCCCCCAACUGACAACAUUUGGGCUCAAAUGCAGCAGGCUGGGUGCCCAACACAGUGCCUGGCGAGUGGUAGCGCUUACGUUUCUUUUCUGUUGAAUGGAUGGAUAGCUAAUGAAAUUGUAACCAAUGACAAGCCUUGAUGUUUAUAACCUUUACUAAGAGAUUAUUAUUUUGCUCUUCAUGGACCUGUUAACAACCACCAUAUUGUAUCUUACGGACGUUUGUAUGCCACGUUUGAAGAGCAGGAGCCUUGUUUCGGCGUCAUGUUGAUGGAACUUGAGCUGUCUGAUGCGAAUCUGUGUUUUAUGUUAGAAAGCGCGUAGCCUUAGGAUCUGGCAGACCCAGGGGCCACUUAAUUAACCCUUUGCCUCUUUGACCCUCAAUCUCCUUUUCUCUAAGCCAUAGGUCACCUGAAAGCCUACCUCACAGGGCUGUUGUGAGGGCCGAGGGUGGGUGUGUUUCAACAGUGUGCAGAUGCUGGCUUUCCCUGGGAAUGGGCAUAUGUUGGGAUUUGUCUUGAAAGCAUGAGUGAUGGCUUUACUAGUCCUAAGUGAAUAAAAAGUCAGCCCUGACCUUACGCUGGGAUUGCAUUUCCCACAGUCAGUGGCAUGUGCAGACCACUGGCAGAGCAGCCUGCAGGUGCUUAGCGAUGUGGGCCCAGAGUAAAUAUUUGUUUGAUUGAUGAGUGAUGGCUUUUUCCUUCCUCAGAGUUUGCCCUGCCCCCCAUUCCAACGUGGGCUGCUGCUUCUCCCCAGCGGGUUGUAGCUGGCAGGGCCGUUGUGCUUUGGGGUUUGCUGUACCUGUCGCUGCCGUGAGGGGACGAUCUGUCUGCCCGGAGGGGUUUCUGCAAACAUUCAUGUAUGCCCCUGCUUUCGUUUGUUAGGGAGAAGGAGUGGGGUGACCUAGAGAGAGGAUGAGGAAGGGGUUCUGGGUGGCAUCCUUGGGGUACCAACCCUGCUUCCAUCCUGCGCUCUGAAUUUCCUCACAGCCCUUUUCUGUCUCUGGUAGAAGGUGCAGAAGGUAGGCUUUGCCACCUUCCCUGGGCCUGGCACCAAGCUCGGGGGUCUUGUACACACUUUCCCUUCUCUAACUGGGGUGUGGGCCCAUUUCCUAGAUGAGCUUGCUGAGAAUCAGGACAGCUGGUAUCAGAGCCAGGACUUCCCAGUCUUGCACAAACAACCUGUGCAUUUUUGAGUCCACCAAAUAAGGCCUCCUGCCUGGUCCGGCUCACCCCUGCCAGCCCCCAGCAAAUGCAGCCUGGUGCGUCCCCACCCCUGCCAAGAGCCCAGGAGUGCUCUGGCAGAGAAGUGCAGGGAUGAGGAAGGAGGCUGUGCCCUCCAGGGGACUCAGCUGCGUUAGAGGAGGUGCUGCUGCAGUGGCAGGGGUCUCCAGACAUCCCACGCAGGGGUCCUUUCAGAUCAGGCAUCUCUUCACCAGACCACCGUAUUCCUUUUUCAGCCCUCGUCUCUUGCACGUGGGGGUGCAGUGUUUGGCUCUCACAUCCCCACAUUCCAGCUGGUGGGGGUUUGAGCUGGGUGUUCCUUCUGCUCCCCACUCCCCACUCACGGCCCCCACCCCACGCAAGCCUCCCUUGCCCCCACUCUUUGUCUCCAGCUUUCACAGCCUUGGCGGGCAGGCUGCUGCGCCUGUUGCUGCCCCGGCUCUCUUCCACCCGCCUCUUCUUUCUCAGCCUGAGCUUUACCGUGAGGUCUGGGCGCCACACCUUGGCCCCUGCCAUGCCUGCUCCCAGAAGCACCCACGUGGGUCCCCUGAUUCUCUCCUCCCCUGGGCUUUGCUAAGGAGCCCUUUCAUUGUGGCCUUUGGUGUCUGCCUCAUGCCCAUCCCCUGUUCUUGAGAACUUGGAAGCAGAGGGGGCCCCUCCUAUUGCUCCCAAGAGGCUCCACAGUAGGGAGCCCCUCCCAGGAGAUUCUGAGUCUGUGUUUAGGUGUCGAUUCCUGGGUGGGCCUUGGGGUCCCCUCAGGCCAGGCCUGUGUGUGACCUAAGGCUGGGGGGCUCUGUCAGGCACCUAGUGUCCCUUGGAGGUGGGCGGGGCUGGGUCCUGGUCUCCUGAGGACGGGUGGGGAGACAGGCUCAGGGAGAUUUCCACGAAGCUGCCCUUGAACCCCUCCUCUGAGGCCCACACUGCCCUGGCCCUUUACACCCUGCCUCCUGCACUAGUAGGCACAUAAUAGAUGCUCGCCACCUGUGGAGGGCAGGGUUUAAAUGGCUGGAAAGAGCUGAGUGGGCUGUUUGGCUAGCGUACGCGCAUUUGUUUAAAAGGAAAGGGUGUGUUUCUUGGCAAAGACUCUUCGGAGGAAACGCUGAACUGGGGAUGGGUCUCUACCUGUUCUGGGGCCUCACUGCCCUUCCUGCCGGGGACAGGCAGUCACUGGUGGGUUUCCCCCCAGUGGAAACACAAUAUUUUGGAAAUAUUUGUAUCUAGGAUAAAACUUCAUCUGGACCAACAUGUCUUUGUUGGUGUUGUGGCCCAGGUGAUUUUGAGAAUGUAGAAUACAUUUGGCAAUUUCCAAACGGAGUGAUGACCUGCUCCUCCGCCCCCCAUGCCCUCCCUGAGGCUGGAGGCUUCAGAAGCCCCUGCCUUGGGAGGAGGCUGUUCUACCUGAGAAGUCUUUGUCCCCACCGUUGGUGACAAUCAGCAUUGACCUGUGAGGCACCUGCCAGGUUCGGGACGCAGCUUUAGACAUCCAGAAAACCGGGGGUGGAGGGGUGGGGUGGGGGCUUAAGACCCCAGAGCUUGAUUCCUUUUAACUGUCUCAUCCCCAAAGAAUGGUACAUGGGUACCAGGUAGGUUACUUGAAUCACCCUGAGCCUCGAUUUUCCCACCCGUUAGAAACAGGGUAAUUCAUGACAGUGUCCGCUUGGGAGACGGCUGUGACCCCUGAGAAUUCUCGCUGCAUGCCGUGGGCUGGCUCGUGAGACUCAAGGUCUGGGUUCGAGGCCCCCGCAACCCCUUCUGACUGUGUGGCCUGGGCGAGUUUGUUGUUUGUAACCUGGAAAGCGUCACACCUGCCUGGCACGGUUAUUGUGGGCUUCAAUGAGAUUGUUUGUGUGAAAUAAACGCUUUGUGACUGGCACACAGGCGCUCUCAUCCCGGCUCUCCUGGUGGGCCCGGACCGCUGGGUGCUGGCUGCGGAGGCCCUGUGCUCCCUGGAACUGUCUGCGCUGGUCCCAGGGACUCUUGGGCAGAGUGGAGGGCAAGGGGGAAAGCACCAGCCUGCUCUGGGGAGACAGUGGCAGAGGGAAGUGUUUGCUUUUAAAUACACUCAGCAGGUUCAGACAGGAGAGGAUCCGAGGGGAAAUGUUUAGAGCCCUCAGGAGGAGGAAGAGACCGAGUUUUAGGAAAAACAUCAAAGCUGGAUAGGUUGGGCAGAAGAGCUGGGGAUAGCAUUUAGAGAGGCUGAGAGUCCUGGGUUCUGGGUUAUCAAGGUGAGAGAAACCAGAGGUUGCCAGUUGUAGGUGGGCGUCAGGACUAGAGUGAUGCUUCCAGAAGUUUCUGCAAGUGGGCCGAGUCUAAGGUAGGGCAGGGUACGCCAGAAGUUGAGGGGCACUAGGUAGACAGGCCGAGCUGGUGGCUGGGUGCUCCCCUCACCCUCCAUGCUGCUAGGAGCCCGUGAGCAGGGACUUGCUCUCCUCUCCCUCCCUCCUGGGGCCUGCCUGUCUGUCUGUGAACUCUUGUCGGCCAGCGAGGCCGGGAGCAGGUGGCCUUCAUCUGCAACUGUGUCUCUCUCAGCCUCCACAGCCACGGGGACACCCUGCACCUAUUCCCACGGGACAGGCUGGACCCAGAGACUCUGGACCCGGGGCCUCCCCUUGAGUAGAGACCCGCCCUCUGACUGAUGGACGCCGCUGACCUGGGGUCAGACCCGUGGGCUGGACCCCUGCCCACCCCGCAGGAACCCUGAGGCCUAGGGGAGCUGUUGAGCCUUCAGUGUCUGCAUGUGGGAAGUGGGCUCCUUCACCUACCUCACAGGGCUGUUGUGAGGGGCGCUGUGAUGCGGUUCCAAAGCACAGGGCUUGGCGCACCCCACUGUGCUCUCAAUAAAUGUGUUUCCUGUCUUAACAAAAACUGAUGGAUGUGCUACUAAUA